This 8181-nucleotide long non-coding RNA is filed under the name Lactuca sativa (garden lettuce). RNAcentral describes it as "long non-coding RNA (LSAT_LNC000636)". The record is from RNAcentral. Lineage: Eukaryota; Viridiplantae; Streptophyta; Magnoliopsida; Asterales; Asteraceae.
AUACGCUUCGGGUAUAGGUUCGAUUGCAAAUGCUUUAAUGGUUGACCAUUCUAAAAUUUUCCAAAUGUCUAGCGCAUUUAGAGGGAAAAGGGAUUAGAAUCAGUUUUGACUAAAAUGAUUAAACAACUAUGAAAGGACAAUCCAAAGUUCGACGAGGAUUGGUCGUUUGUGAGUAGUUGGCAGUAUAGUAUUGGAAAAUAUGGAAAUGUUUCCAUAUUGGAUGGACCAUAUCGACAUUAUUAUGAAUAGACUAGAUUCUAUUAAGAAUAAGUUGUCAUAUGGAAAAUAUGGAAAUGUAUCCAUAUUGGGAAUUGAAUAUUGAAAAAUCUAUGACUAGGUUAGAAACCUUUAUGCAAAAGGAUGUUCGAAGGAAUGUACUUUGAGUGAGAAACAUCAUAUCUAAGGAAUUGUCUUGUAACAAUCUCCGAUAGAGGAUUUUGUAAUGUCAUUGGCAACAGUCUUUGCGACUUUGGUGCAGUGACAUUACGAAAGGAUAGUUGCAGAAAAUGUUAGAAUCUAGCAUAUUCUAUAAGUAGCAAGAAUUUGAUAUUCCUUAAUUUAUGAAAAACGGAUUUGGAAUUCUGAAAUGAGAAGGAUUGGAAAUGUGUUCAAUGUGAUCUAUUUCACAAAGUAACAACCACAGGUAAACAUUGUGUGCAUACUAGGAGCAUAGGACAAAUGUUGGAAUUCAAGUAAGAAGUUGAUUACACGAAACGACAAAUAAUGAGUAAUCAAUAUGGUGAUAAAUAAAAGGCGUUUUAUUUAUACUCAAAGGUUUGAGGCCAUAUGGGAUUAGUGUUAUUCUUGUGUUUCACAUUUGCAUGUUUUGACUUCCAGAAUAAUUGAGUUUAUUAAGAAUAAUCGAAUUAUUCGAAAGGGCCACAGUUGUUCAUAUGUUGGAAGUAGAUAUGAAUGAAGACUGUCGUGAAUUGGUGUGUGGAUUGUCUAAAGAGCAUUAGACAUAAGCAAAUGUUUGCUGCAACGUUCAUGAGUGCUUAUGAAUGUGAUUUGAGCAUUAGAUUAAACCCACGCUCACUUGGAUCACUCCAUGAAUUGUAUCACAAGUGAUUGGUGAGACGAUAACAUCUUAUAUUCUUAAAACCGAGAUGUGUGAGUUGUAUCUUGCAAAUCGGUUGCACAUUGAUAAUAUGUAAAUGCACUAGUAACUUGGUGUUAUAAAACAUAUUGUUGUGUGUGAUUCCCUGUGUGAGUGCAAGCGAGCAUUGUAUCAAAGUUUAUCAAUUCCUUUUAUUCAAAGAAGGAUAAAGGCGAUAUCUUUCGGCCCCUCGAUGGUUUAGUGAUGACAAAUGUAAAUGCUCUGCCGGGCUAUGGCUAAUUUGAUUUGUUCAGUUAGUCAGUCGUCAUAAAUCGGGAAUCGAGAUAUAGUACAAAGAGAAUGAUUUGAAAUCACAUCUCAAAAGAUAUCUAGAAUGUAUGAAUAUAUGAUCCCUUAUCUAAGGACACGCGUAUCUGAUAGGAUCAGAGUUGACAGCGGCUUUGGAAAGCUACGAUUGCAGAUCAGGAUCUGAAGUCAUACGCAUAAUAGUUAUUAGACUUAUCCAAGUGGGAGACUGUUGGAUUAGUGUCUAAGUCCAUAACUAUUUUGGUAUGUACUUGACCCGAUGGUGCAUGGUCCUUUUGGGUUGCCUUCACCAAAGCAACUUGAUAGGAUGAAUUAUGGAGAGAAAGGAUUAAAUAUGAUUUAUUAAUAUAUUAUGGGAAUAAUAUAUUAAAGGAGAAAUCAUAUUGUUUAAUUAAUAUUAGUCAAUAAUUAAUUGGUAAUUAGUUUUGUGACUAAAAGAGAUUAAUUAAACUUAAGGGACUGGAAUUGUAAUUAUAAGAUAAUUGCAAUUUGGGCCAUGGAUUGCCUUUUAUUAUAAGGUGGACGAAUUCUAAUGGGGAAGCCCAUAUGAAGUCGUCCAAGGCUUUAAGAAAAGGGCUCCAUGGGUUGCUUAGGGCUUAAGCAACCAAAUUAGGGUUUCCUUGUUAGAUAACCCUAAUAGCCUUACUAUAUAAAGACCCCUUAUGCCUCAAAAACGUGGACAAGCAACCUUCUAGGGUUUCACACGUUUUUGGGCAGCCUCUAACCUCUCUCCUCUUCAUCCUCUUGCUUAUGGUGUUUGUGAACCAUUAGAGGAGUGACACUUGUGACUCUAAGCCUUCCAAAGUCAAUUCAAGGAGGAAUUGGGAUUGUUAUUGCUACAUAACAAUCAAGGUAAUAUCUUAAACCUAAUUAUAUGUUAAUAUUGAUUUCCAUAUGCUAGAAUUAGGGUUUAUAGUCUUGGAUUCAAAGCAUGUACAAUAGAGAAACCUAGAUCCAAGCAUUAGGGUUUGUAUGAGCACAUAGGAUGUCUUAUGACCAAAACCCAUCAGUGGUAUCAGAGCCUAGCUUGGUUUCAAUUGUAUUGAUGCAUUGUAUAACUGGAAAAUUCGUUUUUUGGGUUUCUGGAGGCUGGACUCGCCGAGUCCAUGGCUGAACUCGCCGAGUCCAAGGUGACUCGACGAGUCCAAGCCUGACUCGACGAGUCAACUCGUCAGAAGGAGGGUACUUCGGGAUUUCUUGCUGUUUUUGCUUAUGGAUAGUUACCUUAUCAUGUUAGAUCAAUAUUAAUCCGAUUAUAUGAUAUAUUUGACUAUAUUUUUGAUCUAAUUGAAGAUAUUUAUCAAUUAAUAAGAUAAUUGUUUCCUUAUGUGAUAAUUGAUUAAUUAUUUUGAUUAAAUUGAUAAAUUGUUUUGCAAGAAAUCAUUAAAUAAAUCAAAUAUGGAUAAUUAUGUGAUUAAAUGUUAAUUUAGAUUAUUUGUUAUUUGAUCCUUGUUGUUAUGAAAAGUUUCAUAUUUUCCCCUUUAGGUUUUAUAGUUUAAAUUUGAACCCAAAAGUUUUGUUGUUUUGAAAUUUAAAUAGUUGAAACCCUAAUGUUUUGAAAAAGGUUUCAAAACUUGCCCUCAAGUUUUGGAAUUUAAAUUUUGAUUAAAUAGUUUAAUUUUGAUGUAUAUUUAAAUUCUAAACCCUAAUGUGUUGAAAUGUUUCAAAACUUGCCCUCAAGUUUUGGAAUUUAAAAGUUGAUUAAAAGUUUAAUUAGGAAUGUUAAAUUCUAAAACUCUAGUAUUGUUUUGAAAAAGUUCAAAUCACACCCUUAUGGUUUUAUUAAUUAAUUAAGGUGUAUAAUUAAAAGAGGUUUAAUAAAUCCAUAAAAGUUUUGGUUUACAAUUUAAUUGAAUUAAAAGUAUAAUUGUUAAAUUUGACCACCUAGUAUUUUAAAAGUGUAAAAUACACCCUAUACUAUAUAUAACAUUAAAAGUCUAACAUUAUAUAUAUGUAUGAGUAAAAGUCAGUCUUACCGUUAGUAGGCCUCAUUCACGAAGCUGGUCUAUAAGGGGUGUUUAAGGAAAUUGCCUAUAAAAUGGCGAUUGAAUGGGUAUCCACUCUUACCCACCGCACUCUUGACUAGUGGAGGGUCGUUAGCCGAACGGGUAGGAUAGGACGAAACCUUCCAUUAUAAGUAUAAUGAAGUAUAAAAGUAACUAAAUGUUUUCAUAAAAUUCCCAAUCUUAGUUACUUAGGCAAAAGUGAAUUGAUGCAAUUCCAUGAAAUUACACUUUGUGCCCUUGCGAAGACGUUAGUGGAGCGUGUGUGGUUUACCGGCACACUAAAUGGUUCUAAGCAAAGGUAGCAAAGGGUGACUCAAUGUUUGUCAUAGUUCGGUGGAGCGUGUGUGGUUUACCGGCACAUCGAAUAGGUGACUGUAACAUGUGAGGGCACCAUGUAAGUUUGCAUGGUUAUUCACACCCGCUUUGUGAUCCUCGGCAUCCCAGUCACAAACUAGAGGGGCAUAUCGAGAUUUAAACAUGCCAUUGAAAUGUUCAAUGAAUCUCAAAGGAUCUAGGAGUUUUCAUAGAUUUAAAACUUAAAUUUCUUUUUCGUUUUUCAUGGUGGAAAUUAGUGAAUCGUCAUUCACUUACCUUCAAAUGUUCUGCAAUUUGGGUUACGGCAUCCCUCUCCCGAGUUGUAGAAUAUUGUGUUGGGUCCUAGCCUUAGUAUCUCAUUUGGGUGAUUUACUAAGGACUCAAUCAAUCAACUAACUUGAAUUCGUUUUCUCCCGUUUUGUAGAUGUCAAAGUUCGACAACUAUGGUCUUCCCAAAUCCCGUGGAACAAGCAUUCCACAUGAAGAUGAUAUUCCACGAUUCGAUCGAGGAACAAGAAAUCAUGCUUCACUUCCUCCACCUCCUCCAAUUAUUCUCCCUAACCCACAAGUUCAAAGGCUUGAAAAGUUCAAGAUCACUCAAGCCCUUUUGGCAAGUAAACAUAAAGAAGGAAAGUCGGUGUGUGCACACGUCCUAGGGAUGAAGUCACACAUUGAUAGGUUAAGAAUGUUGGGAUCCGUUGUCUGUGAGGAAAUGGCUGUUGAUUGGGUUCUUCAGUCACUUCCUAACUCAUAUAGUGAGUUCGUAAGAGAGUACUAUAUGAUGAACCGCGACGUGACCCUUAUAGAUCUCACCUAUAUGCUUAUUGCUGCUGAAUCAGCAAUGGUUUGGCGCAAUAGAAAAGCAAAGUUGAUUGGUGAAUCUGCCUUCAAGACCUCUAUGGAUAUAGACAAUGGCAACGAAAGACAUGCUAUGAUCGAAAAGUUUGAUCAUAAGAGAAAGGCAAUGUCUGAAGUAGUUCCAUGUCAUGUUCCAAAAGAGUCAAUUUGCUUUUAUUGCCAAGAGAAAGGGCAUUGGAGACGAAGCUGCCCCAUUUACCUAAGAGAUCUAAGAGAUGGGAGAGUCGAAACGUAUGGCUCUAAUAUAGGUAAAAUCCAUUAACUAACUCUUUUAAGCUUCUAUUCUAGAUUCUUAAUACAUAAUGUGAUAAGAUUACAAUUGAUGUUUUGUAGGAUCGAAGAAAAGAAAGGAAGCUUAAGGGAAGAAGUGAGCAGAAUCUAACCGUGAAGGAAUGGAUUUCGAUCGCAUUUCUCGAAGAUUAGAUUCUUGAGCUACUACUUAGAGUUAGAAUUAGAUUGCUAAGAAAGAUGUAUUAGCAUAGUUUUUCAAUGAAUUGCAUUGUAAGGACAAAUUUUUCCGCAAUAAAAUAAAUUUUGAUUUUAAAUUUUAUUUAUUUAUCCUUGCAAUGGCGUGUAUGAAAAAUUGAUGUUAAAAUGUUUCUAUUAUUAGCAAUAAUGGAUUUGGUUCUUAUUAUGUUAUUUAUGGAAAGUCGAGAAUUUACCAAAUAGGGAGAGUUUCUCAUCGCCCAAGUUUCAAUUGGACAGAAACUUGGAAUCAUGCAACUUGGUUGCACGAUGAAUGAGAAAUUUCAUAUUUGGAAAUUAGACUAAUUCAUUGACAAAGUGUCAAGUGAAGGACUAGGAGAUCGAGUACACAAAGUUGCGUGUUGAUCAAGUCCACCAUAAGAGUAACAAAGAUAUUCGUCAUGAUUUACUAAAGGUUUAGUAAAUAUGAUUAUACUUAUAAGAUUAAGUGUAAUUCUGAAUUGAUUGAAAAGGUUUAAAUCAAUAGCAGAACGAAUAAGAAGAAUCAAGUAGGCAGAAAGAUAAAAGUUUCUCCAUUCUAAGAAGAAGGGAGAGUACCUUUUAUGCUUUAUGAUAGGUCUUAAUGAUUAAGAACCAUAUCUCAAUUGAUCCUCUAAGUGAGUCUUAGUACAAUUGUAUGUCUAAGAAGAGGAAUCAAGAAUUGAAGAAAUGGUUAAAUCAAUAAGUCAAUCAUACUUCGUUCCAAUAACAAGUCUUAAAGUUAAGAUUGUGACAUUGAGUGAAAGGUAUUAAGAAGGUUUGUAACUUUCAUUAAAUGUGGAAAGUUGUGAUGUCUUGGAUAAGACAAAGACCAACUAGGACCAAUUUAUGAAGUGUUUUGAUAAAAGCUACACUAACUCUUGAAUAUUUGUUUGUCAAGAAAUGGUUAUUGACAAGAGAAUCUUAUAUGUCAAGGAGUCAGUGGGAGUCUUAAUGGUCUUGAAAGGUUUCAAGAACAAAUCAAAUAAACCUUAUCGAUCAUCACUAGCACACGAGUUGAGGUUUACAACCUAUCGUGUUGACAUUAUUUUGAUUCUGUGCCAAUCCAAUCGAGUUAAUUAUGCAUGUGAGUUCUAUGAGUUCUCAUUUUGAACGCAUAAAAGGCAAAGCACCUUAAUCAAUGAAAGGUACAUUGAUAGGAAAGGGUGAGCUGCUUAACUACUUGGAAGACAUGGUGGGCAGCUGUGCUACCAUAAGGCAAGAAAUCAAGAUUAAGAAAGUUCGGUCCAUAUGAGUUUGAAUUUGUCGUAAACUUUGGUUUUAACAAAUUCACAUGGAUAGGAACACAUACACCGUUUAAAUCUAAGUGUCAUAAGAUUUCCUCCUUCAUGAAAAUGAUUGUGAGGAAAUGCUUUCACUAAGAAAGAUUUUAAGAAGAUAGUGAUUGUAAAAUUGCAUUCUCGAAUUCAAUUAUGGUUACGGCAUCCCUUUCCAUAAUUUGAAUUGUGAGGUUUGGCAAUUAGUCUUAAUUGUUUAGACACACAUAUGAACUAUCGAAGGCAAAGGUGUAUAAGUUCAAGAAGCCUUGAUAAAAGAUUAUCAAAGCACUAAGUAUUAGAAACAUGAACUUAAGAAAUUCAAUAAGCAUUGUUUUUCUGAAAGUUAAGAUGUUUAUGAAUACAUGUCGAAGCUAGUGGGAGCAUAAGUGUUAUGUUUUAUAAUAAUCAUCAUGAUAGUGGGAGCAUAAAUGUUAUGAUUGUAUGAUUAUUAAGGAAAGUAUUGCAAGGUUAGCAAUAUUAAUUAUAGAAAACAAGAGUCAUACUUUGCAAAGUUGUAAGAGUUGAAAGGUUGUUUUGCUAUAAUUAAGGGAGAGAAUAUUAUGCUUCAUUUCAAAUCUAAAGGAUUAGGUUGAGAAAUGUUAAUAAAUUUAGUCAAAGGUACAUAGUGUGUUCUUAAAAUUUCGAUUAUGAUUACGGCAUUCCUCUUCACAAUUCGAAUUUUGAGAACAUAGCAAAUAAAACAUUAUGCGUCGUGUCCCAUACGCUUCGGGUAUAGGAUCGAUUGCAAAUGCUUUAAUGUUUGACCAUUCUAAAAUUUUCCAAAUGUCUAGCGCAUUUAGAGGGAAAAAGGACUAGAAUCGGUUUUGACUAAAAUAAUUAAACAACUAUCAAAGGACAAUCCAAAGUUCGACGAGGAUUGGUCGCUUGUGAGUAGUUGGAAGUAUAGUAUUGGAAAAUAUGGAAAUGUUUCCAUAUUGGAUGGACCAUAUCGACAUCAUUACGAAUAGAUAAGAUUCUAUUAAGAAUGAGUUGUCAUAUGGAAAAUAUGGAAACGUGUCCAUAUUGGGAAUUGAAUAUUGAAAAUCUAUGUCUAGAUUAGAAACUUUUAUGCAAAAGGAUGUUCAAAGGAAUGUACUUUGAGUGAGAGACAUCAUAUCUAAGGAAUUGUCUUGUAACAAUCUCCGAUAGAGGACUUUGUAAUAUCAUUGGCAAUAGUCUUUGUGACUUUGGUGCAGUGACAUUACGAAAGGAUAGUUGCAUAGAAUGUUAGAAUCUAGCAUAUUCUAUAAGUAACAAGAAUUUGAUAUUCUUUAACUUAUGAAAAACGGAUUUGGAGUUGUGAAAUGAGAAGGAUUGGAAAUGUGUUCAAUGUGAUCUAUUUCACAAAGUAAGAACCAUAGGUAAACAUUGUGUGCAUGCUAGGAGCAUGGGACAAGUGUUGGAAUUCAAGUAAGAAGUUGAUUACCCGAAACGACAAAUAAUGAGUAAUCAAUAUGGUGAUAAAUAAAAGGCGUUUUAUUUAUACUCAAAGGUUUGAGGCCAUAUGGGAUUAGUAUUAUUCUUGUGUUUCACAUUUGCAUGUUUUGACUUCCAGAAUAAUUGAGUUUAUUAAGAAUAAUCGAAUUAUUCGAACGGGCCACAGUUGUUCAUAUGUUGGAAGUAGAUAUGAAUGAAGACUGUCGUGAAUUGGUGUGUGGAUUGUCUAAAGAGUAUUAGACAUAAGCAAAUGUUUGCUGCAACGUUCAUGAGUGCUUAUGAAUAUGAUUUGAGCAUUGGAUUAAACCCACGCUCACUUGGAUCACUCCAUGAAUUGUAUCACGAGUGAUUGGUGAGACGAUAACAUCUUAUAUUCUUGAAACCGAGAUGUGUGAGUUGUAUCUUGCAAAUCGGUUGCACAUUGAUAAUAUGUAAAUGCACUAGUAACUUGGUGUUAUAAAACAUAUUGUUGUGUGUG